Suricata suricatta (meerkat) is the source of this 1899-nucleotide long non-coding RNA. RefSeq lists it as uncharacterized. The record is from RefSeq and is a predicted model, not a curated record. NCBI's taxonomy places the organism in Eukaryota, Metazoa, Chordata, Mammalia, Carnivora, Herpestidae. The transcript has 5 exons.
UGCGCUCCGGGGUUAACCGUGCGGGGCAGGGGUGGAUGGGUCCUCACGUGUGUCAUAUUCUAACUCAAGAGGAUGAGGACGGCAAAAGCUGUCGUUGACCCAGUACCUUCGAUGGAGGAGGACGUAUGUUGUUCUUUAUAUGUGUUCCUUUAUUUCAAUUCCAAGGUCAUCCCAAAAAGAGGAUACUACUAUCCCUGAAUUACAGCCUCCUGAUUCCUUGUCUCAAAAACAUUCCACAACAGCUCUGAGCACUACGGACCCGGCUGGGUCAUCUGCUGCUGCCGGCUUCCAGGUUGGCGAUGUCCCAGGACACUGAGAGUGUAGGUAUCUACUGCCUAAUAUUUGGUAAGGCUCCUGAAACAUGUCGAUGAAAAGAGACCAGAGAAGGACCGUAACAUGGUGCAGCGGCAGACAAGCAGCAGGAUCUGUGUAUACACUGUUUGUGCCCCAUUCCAUCUGAGGCCUUUGGAGGAAGCUGAAAAUGUAGGUAUGGGGGAUGGCUCCAACAGAUGAUAUCUUUGACCUUGAAGAGACCAAUCUGACCACUGUAGAGUAGCCUCAGGCUCCAAGUGAAUGCCUCAAUGCAGCCAAACUUGCUCAACAUCCAAGGGAGGCCACAGAUGGUAUCUACUGCUUCGGAAUUGGAUCUUUACUCCAAGAAGAGAAGCGUUCCAGUUUAUCACCUGACAGUGGUCACUCAUAGCCCCUAUCCCCAGGAGAGACCGCUUCUGAGAAAGAACUGAGCGGAGUAGCUGCGAGUAGGUCUUUGUCGCCGCUCCAAAUAGCAGUGGGUAAUAUGCUAACACAAUCGAUUCUCAACGAUUCGGGGUGAAAAAAAAAAAAAUCCUGAGGCUGGAAACCCUGUAGAUGGGAUCGGAAAAUAUCUUCCCAGCCCUGCCCAUUAGCCCUUCAAGAGCCAUCCCCACAGUCCUACCGCGCAGCAGCCCCUCCCUUGUCUACACCCAAAAGCCAGGCCUCGACCCUGCUGCCCCGCCCCCUCUUUCUUCACACCGUUCAAUAUAUUCUCUUCACGGAACCCCUUCACAGUUGUGACUUUCUGACCACCGGAGCUUCGGGUCUGUACAGAUCCUCAGUCUCGAUCCACCCCCACCACCACCACUCUAUGACCCCUGACCCCCUCCUCCAGCCUGCUCUUACUGUCCAGAUAAUGUUCCAAAUACAUCCCCGCAGCCAUCUUGAAGCAAAACAAAGCAACUUCCGAUCCGCCCCGGAAGCGACUGAAAUGCAACAGGCGCUGAAGCUAUUAUCCUUGGGUUGCAGCCUUUCCGCCCUUAAAAGAAGAGCUUCCGCCCUCACUAAAUUGUCCGCUGGGACACAUCCGCCCGACGUUGAAACUUUCCCUUUUGCGUAGGUAGCCGGGGCCGCCCAUACUGAGGCGCCUAGAGGGUAGUUUUGCCCGCUUCCGCCCUUACUGAGUCCCCAGUACGCGACCGAGGCAGGCAUGACGUCACUGCAGGUCGCCAUUUUGCAUUACCUAUCAAACUUUUUUUCCCUCCAAAAAGGGGAUGUGCAUUAAUGCGGGGUAAAAAAAACCCCUUCUCUCUUUAGGAUUGUAUUCCACAAAUACCCCUUUUCAGGGACUGAAGACUCUUUUUUCCUUUUUGCUGGGUAUGAAUCUAGUGACCAGAGCAGGUCUCGGCUGAAUCAAGGUAGCUAGUAUCAACGAAGUUGGGGAGACAUAGUUGAUGUUGCGAGAUUUAAACCCUUCGCUUUUCCACUCACACGAGCAUCAGCUCUCCUGGAUUAUUUUUUUUUUAUAAUCUCUACUUAUAAAUACAAAGAAUUACACAAUAAAGCUAUAAUUCUCCACACCUCUUGUCCAGGUUCCUGUCCUUUUGCACUCGAAUACGUAUACACACAUAAAAUGACAUAGUACUU